Long non-coding RNA from Pseudophryne corroboree (corroboree frog), 704 nucleotides. RefSeq lists it as uncharacterized. The record is from RefSeq and is a predicted model, not a curated record. The transcript has 3 exons. Lineage: Eukaryota; Metazoa; Chordata; Amphibia; Anura; Myobatrachidae.
UAUGUGUCCAUCAAAUCCCGGCGCCAGAUUGGUCCAGCAGGCGGGGAGCGGUAGUUGCGGUGCGGCUUCUGCAGCGCUGCGAGGGACGUGAGUCUGUCUCACCAAUGCAGCGCGAGCAGCGGCAGGUAACUGGGGGAGGAGGAGAGACCAGCAGCGUCCGCCAUGGGCUGGGGGGUGGUUGGAGACCAGCAGCCUCGGGCACGGGUGUGGUGGUGCUAUCUGUCACCCAUUCAUGUUACUACGGGGUGCGCAUACUUGGCAAUGUGUAAAAUGGCAACAGUGCAGGAAUCCUUUAGUCCAAAUGCAGGGUCUCUCACCAUCUAGGGAUGCUGCGGUGGGCUUAGCUUUCGGUAAAGCAAUAGAAGAUCCCGGGCUGGAGAGCACAAAACCACUCCAGAUUGAUUAGGACAGCAAUAUCGGCAUACAUCUUGUAAUAGAAGAAAUUCUCCUCUUCCAUCUGAUUUGCGAGGAAUCUGCAGAAACAGAAUACCACGAGGAGCCAGGAUCUCCCUCCUGUGGUGGUAGCAGUCCUCCAACCUACUGGACGGUCGCAGUUUUCGGAUUCUGGAUUGGAUCCUCCUCACAACAGAUGCGAGUCUGCAAAUAUAUAUAGAUGGAAACUAAUUUAUAUUACUGCAUAUGGAUAGAUAGAAGCCCACUUAUUGAGAUAUACUGUACUCUGAACUUAUAAACAUCAGAGAGCC